UACGGAGGAUGCAAGCGUUAUCCGGAAUGAUUGGGCGUAAAGCGUCCGCAGGUGGCUAUGUAAGUCUGCUGUUAAAGGGUGAGGCUCAACCUCAUAAGAGCAGUGGAAACUACAUGGCUAGAGUGCGUUCGGGGCAGAGGGAAUUCCUGGUGUAGCGGUGAAAUGCGUAGAUAUCAGGAAGAACACCGGUGGCGAAAGCGCUCUGCUAGACCUGUACUGACACUGAGGGACGAAAGCUAGGGGAGCGAAUGGG
Molecule: ribosomal RNA, 253 nt
Filed under: uncultured bacterium
Lineage: Bacteria
Description: partial 16S ribosomal RNA
Rfam family: Bacterial small subunit ribosomal RNA
Source: RNAcentral